AGAGUUUGAUCAUGGCUCAGAUUGAACGCUGGCGGCAGGCUUAACACAUGCAAGUCGAGCGGUAACAGAGAGUAGCUUGCUACUUUGCUGACGAGCGGCGGACGGGUGAGUAAUGCUUGGGAAUAUGCCUUUAGGUGGGGGACAACAGUUGGAAACGACUGCUAAUACCGCAUAACGUCUACGGACCAAAGGGGGGGAUCUUCGGACCUCUCGCCUAUAGAUUAGCCCAAGUGAGAUUAGCUAGUUGGUGAGGUAAAGGCUCACCAAGGCGACGAUCUCUAGCUGGUUUGAGAGGAUGAUCAGCCACACUGGGACUGAGACACGGCCCAGACUCCUACGGGAGGCAGCAGUGGGGAAUAUUGCACAAUGGGCGCAAGCCUGAUGCAGCCAUGCCGCGUGUGUGAAGAAGGCCUUCGGGUUGUAAAGCACUUUAAGCAGUGAGGAAAGGUUGAUGGUUAAUAGCCAUCAGCUGUGACGUUAACUGCAGAAUAAGCACCGGCUAACUCCGUGCCAGCUACAGCGGUAAUCCGGAGGGUGCAAGCGUUAAUCGGAAUUACUGGGCGUAAAGCGCGCGUAGGCGGCUAUUUAAGCUAGAUGUGAAAGCCCCGGGCUCAACCUGGGAACUGCAUUUCGAACUGACAAACUAGAGUUUUGUAGAGGGUGGUAGAAUUUCAGGUGUAGCGGUGAAAUGCGUAGAGAUCUGAAGGAAUACCAGUGGCGAAGGCGGCCACCUGGACAAUAACUGACGCUCAUGUACGAAAGCGUGGGGAGCAAACGGGAUUAGAUACCCCGGUAGUCCACGCCGUAAACGAUGUCAACUAGCCGACUGACCCCUGAGCACUGGGUGGCGCAGCUAACGCAUUAAGUUGACCGCCUGGGGAGUACGGCCGCAAGGUUAAAACUCAAAUGAAUUGACGGGGGCCCGCACAAGCGGUGGAGCAUGUGGUUUAAUUCGAUGCAACGCGAAUAACCUUACCUACUCUUGACAUCCAGAGAAUUUGGCAGAGAUGCUUUAGUGCCUUCGGGAACUCUGAGACAGGUGCUGCAUGGCUGUCGUCAGCUCGUGUUGUGAAAUGUUGGGUUAAGUCCCGCAACGAGCGCAACCCCUAUCCUUAUUUGCCAGCACUUCGGGUGGGAACUUUAAGGAGACUGCCGGUGACAAACCGGAGGAAGGUGGGGACGACGUCAAGUCAUCAUGGCCCUUACGGGAUGGGCUACACACGUGCUACAAUGGCCAGUACAAAGAGUUGCGAUACCGCAAGGUGGAGCCAAUCUCAUAAAGCGUCUCUCAGUUCGGAUUGGAGUCUGCAACUCGACUCCAUGAAGCUGGAAUCACUAGUAAUCGUAGAUCAGCAAUGCUACGGUGAAUACGUUCCCGGGUCUUGUACUCACCGCCCGUCACACCAUGGGAGUUGAUUUCGCCCGAAAUUGGGAAGCUAACCUUCGGGAGGCUACCACUUACGGUGGAAUUAGCGACUGGGGUGAAGUCGUAACAAGGUAACCGU
Molecule: ribosomal RNA, 1505 nt
Filed under: uncultured prokaryote
Description: partial 16S ribosomal RNA
Rfam family: Bacterial small subunit ribosomal RNA
Source: RNAcentral